Long non-coding RNA from Lingula anatina, 592 nucleotides. Lineage: Eukaryota; Metazoa; Brachiopoda; Lingulata; Lingulida; Lingulidae. The record is from RefSeq and is a predicted model, not a curated record.
AGGAGAAACAAAUAUGGCGCGGUGGAGUUCGAAAUCGAGAGUAGGCCUAUUGUUGAUGAGGCAAGCAGUCAGAGCAGUCCAGAACUAGAGGGUAAAGAGCUCCCUGAGGUCCAGUAGUACAAGGCUUGGAAGAGGUGUGAGAUCAGGAGGAUUGACUCAAGAACAUGAAAGGAGAAUUCAGUAACUCACAGAAGAGAGCAUACAUGAUGGUGUUGCCAAGAAAAUGAUGGUGUUGCCAAGGAAAGUGCUGAAUACAUUGUGACAAGUGUGAUGGAAAUCCUGGCCUUGCACUGGAUAUAAAGAUGCUUUUGCUAGAGAAUUUACCAAGCAAUGACUCAGCAUCAGUGGAGAUGGGACUGGCCCAUCUCCCACUCACUGUAAUGUCCCCUACAUUUUGACUGCCGUUGAAUUUGCUGGAUUACUUCACUUUGAAGAAAAUUACAGAAUAACUAUUACCACGAGUAUCAGUUUACUGACCAAACAUUCAUAAGACCUGUAAUAUGCAAGUCACUGAGUAGAAGGAUUCUUUUCAUUCUACUGUAAUUUGUGCAACCAUUCAGUGAACAUAAAAAAUAAAGGCAUAGAAAAACAA